This 549-nucleotide ribosomal RNA is filed under the name uncultured bacterium. RNAcentral describes it as "bacterial SSU rRNA". It matches the Rfam family "Bacterial small subunit ribosomal RNA", at positions 355 to 896 of the family's 1533-position model. The record is from RNAcentral.
UGGGGAAUUUUGGACAAUGGGCGCAAGCCUGAUCCAGCCAUGCCGCGUGUCUGAAGAGGGCCUUCGGGUUGUAAAGGACUUUUGUCAGGGAAGAAAAGGAUAGGGUUAAUACCCCUGUCUGAUGACGGUACCUGAAGAAUAAGCACCGGCUAACUACGUGCCAGCAGCCGCGGUAAUACGUAGGGUGCGAGCGUUAAUCGGAAUUACUGGGCGUAAAGCGGGCGCAGACGGUUACUUAAGCAGGAUGUGAAAUCCCCGGGCUCAACCUGGGAACUGCGUUCUGAACUGGGUGACUAGAGUGUGUCAGAGGGAGGUAGAAUUCCACGUGUAGCAGUGAAAUGCGUAGAGAUGUGGAGGAAUACCGAUGGCGAAGGCAGCCUCCUGGGAUAACACUGACGUUCAUGCCCGAAAGCGUGGGUAGCAAACAGGAUUAGAUACCCUGGUAGUCCACGCCCUAAACGAUGUCGAUUAGCUGUUGGGCAGCUUGACUGCUUAGUAGCGAAGCUAACGCGUGAAAUCGACCGCCUGGGGAGUACGGUCGCAAGAUUA